AGCUCCAAUAGCGUAUAUUAAAGUUGCUGCAGUUAAAAAGCUCGUAGUUGCAUUUCCGAGGCAAGGGAUUAGUCCGACCUUUGGUGGGUAUUUAAUCCUCUUGCCUCGUCCUUGAGUGGUGCUUCUUGGUAUUAAGUUAUCGAGGAGAUAGCCGCUCAUCGUUUACUGUGAGAAAAUUAGAGUGUUCAAAGCAGGCUUAUGCCGUUGAAUAUAUUAGCAUGGAAUAAUAAGAUAGGACCUCGGUACUAUUUGGUUGGUUUGAGAACCAAGGUAAUGAUGAAUAGGGACAGUUGGGGGUAUUCGUAUUCAGUUGUCAGAGGUGAAAUUCUUAGAUUUACUGAAGACGAACUACUGCGAAAGCAUUUACCAAGGAUGUUUUCA
Molecule: ribosomal RNA, 381 nt
Filed under: uncultured marine Chaetocerotaceae
Lineage: Eukaryota; Bacillariophyta; Thalassiosirophyceae; Chaetocerotales; Chaetocerotaceae
Description: SSU rRNA
Rfam family: Eukaryotic small subunit ribosomal RNA
Source: RNAcentral